GCGUCCGUGGCGAAACUGGGAUACGCGCUGGAUUCAGACUCCAGUGCCCGAAACGGGCAUGCAGGUUCGACUCCUGCCGGACGUA
This 85-nucleotide transfer RNA is filed under the name Mycobacteroides franklinii. RNAcentral describes it as "Mycobacterium franklinii tRNA". It matches the Rfam family "tRNA". From Rfam's summary of the family: Transfer RNA (tRNA) molecules are approximately 80 nucleotides in length. Their secondary structure includes four short double-helical elements and three loops (D, anti-codon, and T loops). Further hydrogen bonds mediate the characteristic L-shaped molecular structure. tRNAs have two regions of fundamental functional importance: the anti-codon, which is responsible for specific mRNA codon recognition, and the 3' end, to which the tRNAs corresponding amino acid is attached (by aminoacyl-tRNA synthetases). tRNAs cope with the degeneracy of the genetic code in two manners: having more than one tRNA (with a specific anti-codon) for a particular amino acid; and 'wobble' base-pairing, i.e. permitting non-standard base-pairing at the 3rd anti-codon position. Lineage: Bacteria; Bacillati; Actinomycetota; Actinomycetes; Mycobacteriales; Mycobacteriaceae. The record is from Rfam by way of RNAcentral.